UACAGAGGUCUCGAGCGUUAGGCGGAAUCACUGGGCUUAAAGCGUGUGUAGGUGGAUCGUUAAGUACCUUGUGAAAUCCCACGGCUUAACCGUGGAACUGCUGGGUAUACUGGUUGUCUUGAGCCAGCUAGGGGCGAGCGGAACAGACGGUGGAGCGGUGAAAUGCGUAGAUAUCGUCUGGAACGCCGAAGGUGAAAACAGCUCGCUGGGGCUGCGCUGACGCUGAGACACGAAAGCCAGGGGAGCGAACGGG
RNAcentral lists this ribosomal RNA (253 nucleotides) under uncultured bacterium. RNAcentral describes it as "partial 16S ribosomal RNA". It matches the Rfam family "Bacterial small subunit ribosomal RNA", at positions 524 to 776 of the family's 1533-position model. The record is from RNAcentral.